GGCGAACGGGUGAGUAACACGUGGGCAAUCUGCCCUGCACUCUGGGACAAGCCCUGGAAACGGGGUCUAAUACCGGAUACUGAUCCUCGCAGGCAUCUGCGAGGUUCGAAAGCUCCGGCGGUGCAGGAUGAGCCCGCGGCCUAUCAGCUAGUUGGUGAGGUAACGGCUCACCAAGGCGACGACGGGUAGCCGGCCUGAGAGGGCGACCGGCCACACUGGGACUGAGACACGGCCCAGACUCCUACGGGAGGCAGCAGUGGGGAAUAUUGCACAAUGGGCGAAAGCCUGAUGCAGCGACGCCGCGUGAGGGAUGACGGCCUUCGGGUUGUAAACCUCUUUCAGCAGGGAAGAAGCGAAAGUGACGGUACCUGCAGAAGAAGCGCCGGCUAACUACGUGCCAGCAGCCGCGGUAAUACGUAGGGCGCAAGCGUUGUCCGGAAUUAUUGGGCGUAAAGAGCUCGUAGGCGGCUUGUCACGUCGGUUGUGAAAGCCCGGGGCUUAACCCCGGGUCUGCAGUCGAUACGGGCAGGCUAGAGUUCGGUAGGGGAGAUCGGAAUUCCUGGUGUAGCGGUGAAAUGCGCAGAUAUCAGGAGGAACACCGGUGGCGAAGGCGGAUCUCUGGGCCGAUACUGACGCUAAGGAGCGAAAGCGUGGGGAGCGAACAGGAUUAGAUACCCUGGUAGUCCACGCCGUAAACGGUGGGCACUAGGUGUGGGCAACAUUCCACGUUGUCCGUGCCGCAGCUAACGCAUUAAGUGCCCCGCCUGGGGAGUACGGCCGCAAGGCUAAAACUCAGAGGAAUUGACGGGGGCCCGCACAAGCGGCGGAGCAUGUGGCUUAAUUCGACGCAACGCGAAGAACCUUACCAAGGCUUGACAUACACCGGAGAACCCUGGAGACAGGGUCCCCCUUGUGGUCGGUGU
This 923-nucleotide ribosomal RNA is filed under the name Streptomyces rochei. RNAcentral describes it as "bacterial SSU rRNA". It matches the Rfam family "Bacterial small subunit ribosomal RNA", at positions 97 to 1033 of the family's 1533-position model. The record is from RNAcentral. Lineage: Bacteria; Bacillati; Actinomycetota; Actinomycetes; Kitasatosporales; Streptomycetaceae.